CGUUAUGGCGAUUGUGCGUGGGAGACCUUCGGGUCUGCCGGGGGUACCAGCCGGUCUUGCACACCUACGCACAGUUGCCACCUCU
Molecule: non-coding RNA, 85 nt
Filed under: Pseudomonas fluorescens
Lineage: Bacteria; Pseudomonadati; Pseudomonadota; Gammaproteobacteria; Pseudomonadales; Pseudomonadaceae
Also listed under: 3 other names
Source: RNAcentral